Molecule: long non-coding RNA, 4470 nt
Organism: Mirounga angustirostris (Northern elephant seal)
Lineage: Eukaryota; Metazoa; Chordata; Mammalia; Carnivora; Phocidae
Exons: 2
Source: RefSeq, a predicted model, not a curated record
AGGAUGGGAAAUUACUUUUCCUUUGAGAGAACUGUUUGUAACUUGGAUAGGUGGAUAACUAUGUGGUAUUUAUGAAAAUAAGGCAAAGUACUCAAUAGUGAGAGGCCAAGAGCCCCACUCCCAGAAGAGGGAGAAGGAAUAAUGCAGAGAAAGCAUGUGUCUCAAUUCAGCAGCGAACAGUGCAGCUGGAAUCUUUGAUGCGGUGGCAACUCUCAAGGGUGAUGGUUCUGCGGACAAAUACAAAGGUUCUUCUCCACGACCUCCCUGAGGGAACUCCUCUCCCAUUUCUUAUAUUCUCCAUUCUUAGAGACUAAGAUUCUUGUCCUCCUUUUUAUUCUACUUAUUCUGGGGAUCCCUUUUUUUCUGUUCUGCCCAGUUUAUAUUAAGCUAUUGAGUCUCUAAUCACACACAAUUUGGAAGGAGAUAUCUGUGUUCUUUAGAACUGCUUUCGAAUGACUUAUUGCUUCCUUCAAUGACAAAACAUUCUGACUAGUCCAUUGACUAACUUAUUCACUUUCCAAACCAACAGAUUUGUCUUAAUUUUUCUGUGCUGGGAAAUAUAAAAUCAUGCAAACCAAUAUCCUCCAGGAUAAAUUACUGGAAAUUAUGACAGAUUUCUCUCAGUCUGUGCUUUUUAGCCAUAUAGUUAGCUACAAAAUUUGGCUCACUGUGCUAUCCAAUGGGGUAGCCACUAGUCGUAUAUGGCUACUGAGCACUUGAAAUUUGGUUUAGUGCAACGGAGGAACUGAUUUUUUGCUUUUAAAACUGUAAAAUUUAAAUAGCAAAAAAAAAAGUCAAGGAAUGUUUAAUCUACUUGGGAAGGUAAGACAUGGACAUUAAAAGAAUAACUUACUUAUAUCCUAUGGUGCUUUAAAGUCCAUUAAGAGUCCUUGCCCUCCACAGAAGUACUAUUGAACAAGAAAUUAUCAUAACCCCUUGAACCAAUUACAGUGGUCACCCUUUAUCCAUGGUUUCACUUUCAGGGAUUUCAGUUACCUUAAGUCAGAGGUGGUCUGGAAGCAGAUGAUCCUCCUGACAUUAACAGUAACCUAACCCAAAGUCACCAUUCCUACAUGUCACUUCAUAUUGCGUGGAAUUUUAUCAUCUCACAUCCUCACAGGAAGAAGGGCUAUUCUCCAUGAUUUCAUUUUGUAAGUGCUCUGGCAAAUAGUCAUCAAGUUUCCAGGUUCCUAGAAAGGAAAAGAAUAACGAAUUCAUUUAUCAUCUUGAUUUGGACGAAAAACAAUUAAAAGACUCCCUUGAUGUCAUAUGUCUAUUUGGUGAUGACUCUGAAAUUAGUAUCAAUACAACUCCUGCACAUCAGAUAAAACAGUAAUAUAAGUAACCCAAAAGAUAAAAGUUUGUAAAAACAAGGUUGGAUCAUUCACAAUAAAUAAAUACAGAUUUGACUGAUUUCUAAAUGAGGCCUCGCAAAACAUGCAGCGCCUGUGAAAUACACGCAAUUUCCCAUGAGCAGCAGACCACUGGUUGGAGGGCCACCUCAUCCAAACUGGGGAGAAACAGACUCAUUCACGUCACAAAUCCUUACUGAGGACUACUGUGCACAGGACAUGGCGCUCAUGCUGGGGACACACACAGAGUCCUCAUGUUCAGGGAGCCCACACUGUAGUUUGGUAAAAGGACACAAGGAAGACAGCUGCACGUUGUGAAAACUGGUGUGAAGGAGCAAUGGAGACGGAGAGAGAUGCAGGAAAUCAGGUGACACUGUGGAGGAAGACAGGCCUCCCUGGAGGAUUCACUGUCUCAGUCAGCCUUGGGGAGCAACAAUAACGAUACAGGUGGGCUCCAAGCACAUGUCACCUACAACAUCCAAAAGGGAACCCCUGGUUUCCCAUCCCAAAUCUCCUCCUCCACAUGUCGCCUCCGACACAGUGAAUGAUGACACCUCCGCUCUUCCCUUUAAUCAGGACAGAACUUCUCAGCACCUCCUGUCAUCUGUGUCUCACUCACUCAUAACCAGAACCGGACCAACACCAAUGCCUUCCACCCUCCUGGAAGCCAGUCACAUUCUCAAUCUACAGCAGCAGCCUCCUACUUGGCUUUCCUGUUCCUGCCCGGCCAGCUCCUGUCUGCUUUCUAGACAAUAGCCAAAGUGAUCCUGCCAAACAUAAAUUAUAUCGUGUCAAGCCUCCUCCACUCCAAUCUCCCCAAUGUUUUCUCAUCUCAUGAGGAAUAAAAUCAAGGUCUUACCAUGUCCAUGAAAGACCCUUAUGUGACCUGCUACCCCAACCCCCAGCCACUACCCCGUUGACCUUCUUUCCAGUCUUGCUCUGUCUUCUCUUCAUAAAUUCUGCAGACCACACUCCUGCCUCAGGCCUUUGAGUUUCCAGUUUUACUUGGGAACAUUCCUUACCCAGGGAGCCUACUCACAUCCCUCAUCUACCUGCUCAAGUGUACCUUAACAUGGAUUUCCUAUUCCUCAAAUCACAGGCAAGGCCAAGCACUCAUUAUUCAGACAUGCUGUUUUAAUGUUCCUUACGGCCGUUUUCACUCCCAGAGCCUUACCUUCAACCUCCAUCCAUUCCUUCCUCUCACAAAGCCCAUAUUUACUUAAAUGUCGAAUCUCAUCUGCCCUCUGUAAUGACUACAUCCAGAACGUGACCAGCACUUCCCCUCCACCCAUACCGAAGCCAACCAAUCUGUCGUCAUGUUGUGCAACAGCCUCCUGUAUGGCACCCCUGCCCACUACUGUCUCUUGUCUAUAUAACAACCAGAGGGAUUCUUUGAACACGUAAUUACUUCCUGUCAUUCCAGUACUCAAGAACUGCUCAUGUUUUCUCAUCUUACUAGAAAUAAAAUCAUGACCCCUUGAAAUGGAUUACUUGAAUGAUCUUACUUUCCCUUCCCCCUGCUGUUACUGCCUCUUUGAUCUUAUUUCCAUCAUGUUCCCGACAGCACACUCCACUCUGUCCACACAGCUCCUUAAUGUUUCUCAAACACAUUCCUGCUUUGGGCUUUUAAAUUUGCUUUGCUCUCUGCUUGGAACACUCCCAAUCCAGCAGCCUGCUAAUUUCCCUCACCUCUUGGCUCUAAGGCACCUUAUCAGAGGGGUGUUCCAUUCCUAAAGAGGAAACCAAGCCCCUACUAUUCUGUUAUAGUGACUAAAUUUUUAUCACAGUACUUUUCACUCUCUGGACAUACUAUUUAUUUGUUUAUUUUGAUUAAUUUUUUUAAACCUUCUCUUAGAAUGAAAGCUCUUGCUCUAUUUGUAUGCAUUUUCUUACUGCUCCUACCCUCAAGCAUACACGCUAUCAAAAAAUAAUUUUUAAAGGAAUGAAUGAAGGAAGCAAUCACAUGUACAGAACACAGUGGGGAGAGUGUAGGAGAGAUGAAGAAACUAUUUGUGUGAGCAAGAUAAUAUAUUAUGGAGAUCACAGAAAGAAUUUCAUGUCAUGUGACAGGUAAUGUGGUUAACUGGGACUUAAUGUCAUCAGAAUAUGAUGGAAAAAAAAUAAAAGUUUCAGGGAAAUGAACCCAACAGUGUAACACCUACAAUGAACGAGAAGAAAGUCCAAAAUUAGUAAAUACACAGAGGAAUUAAAGUAGGCAUGAGUUAUGAUCUGACUUAGGUUAGAAUGGAGAAUGGAGGAUGCUAAAAUAUCUUUUUAGCUAAAAUUCAUGAACAAGAGACUCCUUUAAAGAAGAGAGCUCUGCAUAUAUGGAACAUUUGAGGUAAUGUCUGGAUGGCCAGGAUGUAAGAUGCACAGGAGUAUAGAGAACCUAAACUUACAGAGGUUUUCUGGGAGGGAAGAGGAUGAGAGUUCCUUGCACUUAUUGGGAACUCGGGAGAGUUGCUAAGGGGAUAAGUGAAUUAUAUGGAACUAAAGUCUGCUGGAUCACUUUGAGGGGAUGUCAGUUUGAGAGUCUCCUGCAGGAAACAGAAGAAGCUUAGCUUAUUAGAAUAAAGAAACUUUGAGGCGCUUAGCUGGCCCAGUGAGAGGAGCAUGAGACUCUUGAUCUGAGGUUGUGAGUGGGAGUCCCACACUGGGCGUAGAGAUUACUUAAAUAAAUAAAACAAGAGAGGGAGGGAAGGAGGGAGGGAGAAAAGGAGGAAGGAAGGAAGGAAAAAAGGUUUGAAAGGUUAGGAGACCAGAUAAGAAAAUGGAAAACAGAACCUUUGGAGGACCUCAAAGUGAGGACAAGGGCCCAGUGAAGACCAGUUUACUGUGGGGGCACAGCAUCCAGGAUGGGAAGGAGGUUAGGAAGGAAAAAUCAACAUUACCAAUGGGACAGAAAGGUGCAGUAGUUAGAAGACAGUGAGGAAUUCAAAGUUUUCUGUUUGGGGAGAGGCCUCUGGACAGUGGACAUUUAUGGCAAGGAAGGUAGAAGAGUAUGAAGAAGGGAAAGAUCUGAGAAUCCCAAGAAAAAGAGAACUAUGCAAAUAAGCAAAAAAAAAAAAUAAGAUGUACAUAAAAUAAAAAUGGAAUAGAUCCCAGAAUAGGUAAAAGG